GAUGAAGAACGUAGCGAAAUGCGAUAAGUAAUGCGAAUUGCAGAAUCCGUGAGUCAUCGAAUCUUUGAACGCACAUUGCGCCCUCUGGUAUUCCGGAGGGCAUUCCUGUUCGAGCGUCAUUAUCACCCCUCAAGCCCGGCUUGUUGUUGGAUGCAGCGCUUAUCCCGCUCCUCCCAAAGAUAAUGACGGCGUCUGCGACGACUCCUGUACACUGAGCUUUCGGGCACGUACACGGCUAGAAGUCCAGACCCGGUCGCCGUCCCCCCCGCGGGGACACCCAUUACCACAAGGUUGACCUCGGAUCAGGUAGGAAUACCCGCUGAACUUAAGCAUAUCAAUAAGCGGAGGA
RNAcentral lists this unclassified non-coding RNA (349 nucleotides) under soil metagenome. Its description in RNAcentral is "partial contains 5.8S ribosomal RNA, internal transcribed spacer 2, and large subunit ribosomal RNA". The stretch from base 1 to 119 matches the Rfam family "5.8S ribosomal RNA", at positions 35 to 154 of the family's 154-position model. The record is from RNAcentral.